RNAcentral lists this ribosomal RNA (440 nucleotides) under uncultured bacterium. Its description in RNAcentral is "partial 16S ribosomal RNA". It matches the Rfam family "Bacterial small subunit ribosomal RNA", at positions 338 to 795 of the family's 1533-position model. The record is from RNAcentral.
CCUACGGGUGGCUGCAGUAGGGAAUAUUGCUCAAUGGGGGAAACCCUGAUGCAGCGACGCCGCGUGGGUGAUGAAGUUUUUCGGAUUGUAAACUCCUUUUAUUAGGGAAGAUAAUGACGGUAUCUAACGAAUAAGCACCGGCUAACUACGUGCCAGCAGCCGCGGUAAUACGGAGGGUGCAAGCGUUACUCGGAUUUACUGGGUGUAAAGAGCGCGUAGGCGGGAUAGCAAGUCAGAUGUGAAAUCCUAGGGCUUAACCAUAGGACUGCAUUUGAAACUGUUAUUCUAGAGUAUGGGAGAGGUAGGUGGAAUUCUUGGUGUAGGGGUAAAAUCCGUAGAGAUCAAGAGGAAUACUCAUUGCGAAGGCGACCUGCUAGAACAUAACUGACGCUGAUGCGCGAAAGCGUGGGGAGCAAACAGGAUUAGAUACCCCAGUAGUC